UACGUAUGGUGCAAGCGUUAUCCGGAUUUACUGGGCGUAAAGGGAGCGCAGGCGGUGCGCCAAUUCUGAUGUGAAACCCCGGGGCUCAACCCCGGGCAUGCAUUGGAAACUGGCGGGCUGGAGUGCCGGAGAGGUAAGCGGAAUUCCUAGUGUAGCGGUGAAAUGCGUAGAUAUUAGGAGGAACACCAGUGGCGAAGGCGGCUUACUGGACGGCAACUGACGCUGAGGCUCGAAAGCGUGGGGAGCAAACAGG
Molecule: ribosomal RNA, 253 nt
Filed under: uncultured bacterium
Lineage: Bacteria
Description: partial 16S ribosomal RNA
Rfam family: Bacterial small subunit ribosomal RNA
Source: RNAcentral